GGACGUCCAGACGCAACUCUCG
Molecule: microRNA, 22 nt
Filed under: Mus musculus (house mouse)
Lineage: Eukaryota; Metazoa; Chordata; Mammalia; Rodentia; Muridae
Description: mmu-miR-219c-5p
Gene: mmu-miR-219c-5p
Source: miRBase by way of RNAcentral